Long non-coding RNA from Anguilla rostrata (American eel), 675 nucleotides. RefSeq lists it as uncharacterized. The transcript has 3 exons. Lineage: Eukaryota; Metazoa; Chordata; Actinopteri; Anguilliformes; Anguillidae. The record is from RefSeq and is a predicted model, not a curated record.
ACAGCUCAGUGUCUCGGGCUGGCCUGUCGUCAUGGUAAUGGAGUCCACAGAGAGACAGAUUCAGGGACGGCGCAUCAUCGUUUCCGCUGGCAACCAUGGAGGCCAUCAUCCUGACUGCUGGUUGGCUAGACCAUGGUGGGAGGGGACAAUCCUCUCUGGGUUGCUAUUGGUCACAGUUCACACAGGGGCAUGUCUGAAUGUCGGCGACCUGUGGGCACACAAGAAGAGACAUCUGGCUGAGAUGCCAGUUCUUUGAUGAACCAGCGGGCAUGGCAACACAGGGGGAAGGCCUUCUAUGUGAGUUUGGCCAUGAGAGGGCACACGUCUCAAACAAAUGGCUCUGCCCAAUGUGGAGAGUUAACAGGAAGAAAUCCCCACUCCCUCACUGACACCAUCACAACAGCAUUACAUCAUGGAGAGAGGGGGCCUGGCUCAUCUUGCAGUACCUUUAUCAAAGAGCAGAACAGUGGUGGGUGGGGAGCAAACCCCCAGGGGAAAUACAGAGAAAAGGAUCCCUUUAGAAGAUGAAAGGGUGAAAAGAUACAGGCCUGAAGGAUGUGUUUGUCAGAAGAGAUACAAAAAACUGCUUUGAGAGAAGAGCAAACACAGUAUUAGCUUUUUUAUUAGGCUGGUACCUCCCCAGGAAUGUCACACCCUUGGGCGAGGCCAACAUAA